UGCCAUUAACACUGCCUAUUUCA
RNAcentral lists this non-coding RNA (23 nucleotides) under Rattus norvegicus (Norway rat). The record is from RNAcentral. Lineage: Eukaryota; Metazoa; Chordata; Mammalia; Rodentia; Muridae.